GAUGAACGCUGGCGGCGUGCCUAAUACAUGCAAGUCGAGCGAACAGAUGAGGAGCUUGCUCCUCUGACGUUAGCGGCGGACGGGUGAGUAACACGUGGAUAACCUACCUAUAAGACUGGGAUAACUUCGGGAAACCGGAGCUAAUACCGGAUAAUAUAUUGAACCGCAUGGUUCAAUAGUGAAAGACGGUUUUGCUGUCACUUAUAGCUGGAUCCGCGCCGCAUUAGCUAGUUGGUAAGGUAACGGCUUACCAAGGCAACGAGGCGUAGCCGACCUGCGAGGGGGAUCGGCCACACGGGAGCUGAGACACGGUCCAGACUCCUACGGGAGGCAGGAGUAGGGAAUCUGCCGCAAGGGGCGAAAGCCGGACGGAGCGACGCCGCGUGAGUGAUGAAGGUCUUCGGAUCGUAAAACUCUGUUAUGAGGGAAGAACAAAUGUGUAAGUAACUAUGCACGUCUGGACGGUACCUAAUCAGAAAACCACGGCUAACUACGU
Molecule: ribosomal RNA, 496 nt
Filed under: uncultured bacterium
Lineage: Bacteria
Description: partial 16S ribosomal RNA
Rfam family: Bacterial small subunit ribosomal RNA
Source: RNAcentral